CACGUAGUUAGCCGGUGCUUAUUCUUCAGGUACCGUCAUUAGCGCUCUGUAUUAGAAAGCACCGUUUCUUCCCUGACAAAAGAGCUUUACAACCCGAAGGCCUUCUUCACUCACGCGGCAUUGCUGGAUCAGGCCUGCGCCCAUUGUCCAAAAUUCCCCACUGCUGCCUCCCGUAGGAGUCUGGACCGUGUCUCAGUUCCAGUGUGGCUGGUCGUCCUCUCAGACCAGCUACUGAUCGAUGCCUUGGUAGGUCUUUUACCCUACCAACUAGCUAAUCAGAUAUCGGCCGCUCCACGAGCAUGAGGCCGCCGAAGGCCGGGCCCCCAUUUCCAUCCGUAGAUCGUAUGCGGUAUUAGCGUUAACUUCGCUACGUUACUCCCCCACUCCAGGGUACUUCGAUAUAUUACUCACCGUUCGCCACUCGCCGCCAGGUUCGCCCCGCGCCUGCCGUUCGACUUGCAUGUGUAAGCAUCGCGCCAGCGUUCAAUCUGACGCCAGGUA
Molecule: ribosomal RNA, 501 nt
Filed under: uncultured Janthinobacterium sp.
Lineage: Bacteria; Pseudomonadati; Pseudomonadota; Betaproteobacteria; Burkholderiales; Oxalobacteraceae
Description: partial 16S ribosomal RNA
Source: RNAcentral